RNAcentral lists this long non-coding RNA (511 nucleotides) under Pan troglodytes (chimpanzee). RNAcentral's name for it is "lncRNA (ENSPTRG00000053711.1)". The record is from RNAcentral. Lineage: Eukaryota; Metazoa; Chordata; Mammalia; Primates; Hominidae.
GUGUAAGUUGGACACCACCUGGUCGCACAACUGUAUUGCUGUGCCCUUCUACUCAUGAGCAGUGCUGCCUGGAUGAAACCUCGAAGGGAUUCAAGCAUUUAACUGAGCCAGCUGCCUCCAUCAUGUUCUUAGUGCUUCCUAAGGCCCAAGGGGGUUCAUGAGAGUAGAACUGUGAGCCAACAAUUGAGGGAGGGCUUGAGGGUUUUAGACAGUUGCUUUGAACACUGAUUAGCAGACAAAUAUCUGUGCACAGGGGCAAUGCGGGGCCCCUCGUUGACAUAGAACAAGCCUCUGAGGGCGGACCUCCUGAAUAUAUCAGUAUAGGUCAGGGCAGUAUAAUCUGGAGUUCACUGUGGGGGCUCAGCACCUAGAACAGGAAAAAAAAAAAAAAAACCCUGAGGCUGGACUGGUCAUUGGAAUUGGUGUCAGGCAAGAGGGCCCUGCUAUGAGGAGAGAAGAGCUGGGGGCUGGGGACUGGAGCAGGAAGGGACCCAGUCAAGGCCAACACUGA